ACACAUGCAAGUCGAACGGAAAGGCCCUUCGGGGUACUCGAGUGGCGAACGGGUGAGUAACACGUGGGUGAUCUGCCCUGCACUUUGGGAUAAGCCUGGGAAACUGGGUCUAAUACCGAAUACACCCUGCUGGUCGCAUGGCCUGGUGGGGGAAAGCUUUUGCGGUGUGGGAUGGGCCCGCGGCCUAUCAGCUUGUUGGUGGGGUGAUGGCCUACCAAGGCGACGACGGGUAGCCGGCCUGAGAGGGUGUCCGGCCACACUGGGACUGAGAUACGGCCCAGACUCCUACGGGAGGCAGCAGUGGGGAAUAUUGCACAAUGGGCGCAAGCCUGAUGCAGCGACGCCGCGUGAGGGACGACGGCCUUCGGGUUGUAAACCUCUUUCAGCACAGACGAAGCGCAAGUGACGGUAUGUGCAGAAGAAGCACCGGCCAACUACGUGCCAGCAGCCGCGCGUAAUACGUAGGGUGCGAGCGUUGUCCGGAAUUACUGGGCGUAAAGAGCUCGUAGGUGGUUUGUCGCGUUGUUCGUGAAAACUCACAGCUCAACUGUGGGCGUGCGGGCGAUACGGGCAGACUGGAGUACUGCAGGGGAGACUGGAAUUCCUGGUGUAGCGGUGGAAUGCGCAGAUAUCAGGAGGAACACCGGUGGCGAAGGCGGGUCUCUGGGCAGUAACUGACGCUGAGGAGCGAAAGCGUGGGGAGCGAACAGGAUUAGAUACCCUGGUAGUCCACGCCGUAAACGGUGGGUACUAGGUGUGGGUUUCCUUCCUUGGGAUCCGUGCCGUAGCUAACGCAUUAAGUACCCCGCCUGGGGAGUACGGCCGCAAGGCUAAAACUCAAAGAAAUUGACGGGGGCCCGCACAAGCGGCGGAGCAUGUGGAUUAAUUCGAUGCAACGCGAAGAACCUUACCUGGGUUUGACAUGCACAGGACGCUGGUAGAGAUAUCAGUUCCCUUGUGGCCUGUGUGCAGGUGGUGCAUGGCUGUCGUCAGCUCGUGUCGUGAGAUGUUGGGUUAAGUCCCGCAACGAGCGCAACCCUUGUCUCAUGUUGCCAGCACGUCAUGGUGGGGACUCGUGAGAGACUGCCGGGGUCAACUCGGAGGAAGGUGGGGAUGACGUCAAGUCAUCAUGCCCCUUAUGUCCAGGGCUUCACACAUGCUACAAUGGCCGGUACAAAGGGCUGCGAUGCCGUGAGGUGGAGCGAAUCCUUUCAAAGCCGGUCUCAGUUCGGAUCGGGGUCUGCAACUCGACCCCGUGAAGUCGGAGUCGCUAGUAAUCGCAGAUCAGCAACGCUGCGGUGAAUACGUUCCCGGGCCUUGUACACACCGCCCGUCACGUCAUGAAAGUCGGUAACACCCGAAGCCGGUGGCCUAACCCCUCGUGGGAGGGA
Molecule: ribosomal RNA, 1391 nt
Filed under: uncultured Alcaligenes sp.
Lineage: Bacteria; Pseudomonadati; Pseudomonadota; Betaproteobacteria; Burkholderiales; Alcaligenaceae
Description: bacterial SSU rRNA
Rfam family: Bacterial small subunit ribosomal RNA
Source: RNAcentral